This 125-nucleotide ribosomal RNA is filed under the name uncultured bacterium. RNAcentral's name for it is "partial 16S rRNA". It matches the Rfam family "Bacterial small subunit ribosomal RNA", at positions 358 to 500 of the family's 1533-position model. The record is from RNAcentral.
GGAAUAUUGCACAAUGGGCGAAAGCCUGAUGCAGCGACGCCGCGUGAGCGAAGAAGUAUUUCGGUAUGUAAAGCUCUAUCAGCAGGGAAGAUAAUGACGGUACCUGACUAAGAAGCACCGGCUAA